Molecule: non-coding RNA, 648 nt
Organism: Phasianus colchicus (ring-necked pheasant)
Lineage: Eukaryota; Metazoa; Chordata; Aves; Galliformes; Phasianidae
Source: RefSeq, a predicted model, not a curated record
CCCUGAGGUCUAGGAAAGAAGAGAGUCGUGCUGCAGUAUCAUACAGUGCACAGCUGCAUCUCUGCCACGCAUGUCUUAGUCCACCAGUUUCAGUAAUCGAUGGCCAUGUAGGAGAGAACCCACGUCAUUCCACGUGUCUCAGGGGCAGAGCUGGCUCAGUGGACUCCUGCCCAUGGCUGCCAGCCGUGCCCCGUACCAGUGCACUCAGGAGCCGUGUUCAUGCAGAGGUGAGAGUUCAGGGGAUACUCAGCCCAUCCGUUUGUCUCAACAGGCAACGUGUCCAGCUCCAUGGAAGGUACAGCAACUGCUGGUGAGGCUUUCCCCUUUAUUCCUGCUGUCCCCAUCCAUUCCAAUCUUCCCCUUCACUCUCCUUUGUCCCCAUCCUGUCAUUACAUCCCCAACACACCCCAAUGUCCACAUCACCCCCCUCGGACUCCUCCACACUCCAUCAACCCCAAGCUCUCUGUCCCCAUCCCUGCACUCUGUCCCCAGACCCCAACAACCAGCAGGCCUCCACAGUCACUGCAGUGGUAUUGGUGACUGUCACCCUCCUCCUUUCUGCAGCAACCUUCUGGACCAUCAAGAAAGGUGCCUGCAGGGAGAGAUGCCAAAGGCAGCAGCACGUUCCCAGCCAGCAGAUGGAAAACA